GACUCUAUGGUGGAACAUGACUA
Molecule: non-coding RNA, 23 nt
Filed under: Arabidopsis thaliana (thale cress)
Lineage: Eukaryota; Viridiplantae; Streptophyta; Magnoliopsida; Brassicales; Brassicaceae
Source: RNAcentral